AUUUUGACUGUACAAAGGUAGCAUAAUCAAUAGUCUCUUAAUUGGUGACUUGUAUGAAAGAUUGGAUGAGAUAUAUACUGUCUCUAAUUAAUUUAUAGAAAUUAAUUUUUUAGUAAAAAAGCUAAAAUAAUUUUAAAAGACGAGAAGACCCUAUAGAGUUUAAUAAUUUAUUUAAUUAUUAUUAAUAUAUAAUUUUUAAAAUUAAAAUUAAAUAAAUUAUUUUGUUGGGGUGAUAAAAAAAUUAAAUUAACUUUUUUUAAUUAUUAACAUUAAUUUAUGAAUAAAUGAUCCAUUUAUAGUGAUUAAAAGAAAAAAUUACCUUAGGGAUAACAGCGUAAUUUUUUUUUUUAGUUCAAAUAGGAAAAAAAGUUUGCGACCUCGAUGUUG
Molecule: ribosomal RNA, 387 nt
Filed under: Papilio fuscus pertinax
Lineage: Eukaryota; Metazoa; Arthropoda; Insecta; Lepidoptera; Papilionidae
Description: partial 16S ribosomal RNA
Source: RNAcentral